UACGGGGGGGGCAAGCGUUGUUCGGAAUUACUGGGCGUAAAGGGCGCGUAGGCGGCCGGACAAAGUCGAGCGUUAAAUUCCAGGGCUUAACCCUGGGCUGUUGCUCGAUACUAGUCGGCUAGAGUGUGGAAGAGGGUGCUGGAAUUCCCGGUGUAGCGGUGAAAUGCGUAGAUAUCAAGAGGAACACCUGCGGCGAAGGCGGGUUGCUGGGCCGACACUGACGCUGAGGCGCGAAAGCCAGGGGAGCGAACGGG
Molecule: ribosomal RNA, 254 nt
Filed under: uncultured bacterium
Lineage: Bacteria
Description: partial 16S ribosomal RNA
Rfam family: Bacterial small subunit ribosomal RNA
Source: RNAcentral